Molecule: ribosomal RNA, 496 nt
Filed under: uncultured bacterium
Lineage: Bacteria
Description: partial 16S ribosomal RNA
Rfam family: Bacterial small subunit ribosomal RNA
Source: RNAcentral
GAUGAACGCUGGCGGCGUGCCUAAUACAUGCAAGUCGAGCGAACAGACGAGGAGCUUGCUCCUCUGACGUUAGCGGCGGACGGGUGAGUAACACGUGGAUAACCUACCUAUAAGACUGGGAUAACUUCGGGAAACCGGAGCUAAUACCGGAUAAUAUAUUGAACCGCAUGGUUCAAUAGUGAAAGACGGUUUUGCUGUCACUUAUAGAUGGAUCCGCGCCGCUUUAGCUAGUUGGUAAGGUAACGGCUUACCAAGGCAACGAUGCGUAGCCGACCUGAGAGGGUGAUCGGCAACCCGGGACCGAGGAACGGUCCCAACCUCCGAGGGGAGGCACAGGUAGGAAUCCUUCGGCAAGGGGCGAAGGCGUAAGGGAGAAAAGCGGGGUGAGGAAGAAGGGGCUCCGGUUGGUAAACCCCGGUUAUAGGGGAAGAAAAAAUGUGUAAGUAAUUAGGACAGUAUGACGGGACCCUAAUAAGAAGCCCCGGCUAAAUUCGUG